Molecule: transfer RNA, 68 nt
Filed under: Marmota monax (woodchuck)
Lineage: Eukaryota; Metazoa; Chordata; Mammalia; Rodentia; Sciuridae
Description: tRNA.Ala
Source: RNAcentral
GUGGUGGCUCAGUGGUAGAGUGCUUGCCUAGCAUGUGUGAGACACUGGGUUUGAUUCUCAACACCACA